RNAcentral lists this ribosomal RNA (253 nucleotides) under uncultured bacterium. RNAcentral describes it as "partial 16S ribosomal RNA". It matches the Rfam family "Bacterial small subunit ribosomal RNA", at positions 524 to 776 of the family's 1533-position model. The record is from RNAcentral.
UACGGGGGGGGCAAGCGUUGUUCGGAAUUACUGGGCGUAAAGCGUGCGUAGGCGGUUCGUUAAGUUCGUUGUGAAAGCCCCGGGCUCAACCUGGGAAUGGCAAUGGAAACUGGCGGGCUUGAGUAUGGCAGAGGGGGGUGGAAUUCCGCGUGUAGCAGUGAAAUGCGUAGAGAUGCGGAGGAACACCGAUGGCGAAGGCAGCCCCCUGGGCCAAUACUGACGCUCAGGCACGAAAGCGUGGGGAGCAAACAGG